UAGGGAAUCUUCCACAAUGGGCGAAAGCCUGAUGGAGCAACGCCGCGUGUGUGAUGAAGGCUUUCGGGUCGUAAAGCACUGUUGUAUGGGAAGAACAGCUAGAAUAGGAAAUGAUUUUGGUUGACGGUACCAUACCAGAAAGGGCGGCUAAAUCGUGCCAC
This 161-nucleotide ribosomal RNA is filed under the name uncultured bacterium. RNAcentral describes it as "partial 16S rRNA". It matches the Rfam family "Bacterial small subunit ribosomal RNA", at positions 355 to 511 of the family's 1533-position model. The record is from RNAcentral.